GUUCUUCCCUGCCUUCAACGCGCUUUGCCUGUGUGAGAAUGCACUGCAGCUAAUAAUGUGUCGGUGCACACACACACACACACACACACACACACACACACACACACACUCACACACACCUCCUGAUCCAUUUGUGCUCUGUCCCCUCAUUAUCUACAAAGUAUGCAGGUUCACAUAAUAAAGCUAGCCUAGAUGCUAAUGAUCUUUUAUAUAUAGGCCACAUGGGAGUGUUAGUGUGUGUGUGUGUGUGUGUGUGUGUGUGUCUGUGUGCCCGGUGAAUCUAUGAGGAAAGUCUGGAUUAUUACCAUCAAUUGUUUUCUGUCUGUACAAUCUUUUUUUUCCACAGACAAAGGAAUACAUUAAAGUCUGAAAGGUCUUUAUAGUCAAUUUAUAAAAGUUCAAGACCGCCCUGUUUUUUCGUCUUUUCCCAUGCUUUUAACAGAAUACAUUCACAUUUUGAAAAGGAAAGAUCAUUUAUUUCCUUUAAAACAUGGGAGUGCACCACUCACCAUCCAUCAGACAAUGUCAUUUCAAAAGCCUGUCUGAUAUUAUGGCCUCCUCUGCUCCUCCUCAUGGCUCCUCUCCCCGCAUGGGUCGAGAUGAACGGUGUAGUUAUAAACGCAUGGGUCGAGAUGAACGUGUAGUUAUAAACGCAUGGGUCGAGAUGAACGGUGUAGUUAUAAACGCAUGGGUCGAGAUGAACGUGUAGUUAUAAACGUAUGGGUCGACAUGAACGGUGUAGUUAUAAACGCAUGGGUCGAGAUGAACGGUGUAGUUAUAAACGCAUGGGUCGAGAUGAACGGUGUAUAGUUAUAAACGCAUGGGUCGAGAUGAACGUGUAGUUAUAAACGCAUGGGUCGAGAUGAACGUGUAGUAAUAAACGCAUGGGUCGAGAUGAACGUGUAGUUAUAAACGCAUGGGUCGAGAUGAACGGUGUAGUUAUAAACGCAUGGGUCGAGAUGAACAAUGUAGUUAUAAACGCAUGGGUCGACAUGAACGUGUAAUUAUAAACGCAUGGGUCGAGACGGCUGUCUGAGGGAACAAGACGUAGGCCUGAAAGCUCAUCCCUUUCCAUUCAUUGUAGCAUGAGGACAUUUUAGCCACAAUUCUAUGUUCAAAAUAUUGUUUAAUUAUAUAGGUUUUAUUUGUGGGUCACAUUAUUUUGGGUGGGCACGUGCCCACCCUGAGUCAGUGGGCGUGACGCCGCGUGAAUGCUUCAACCAUUUCCUUAUUCCUUAGUGACCGCAUUUGUAGACAGAACGUUUUGCACAAACCCAUGGUUGGGCCACACAGGGUGUCUUUAUGUUGUGCCAUGUGAUCUUUAUGUCUUGGGGGAGAUGGAGUAACAUCACGUUUGACAUGAGGACACAGUGAGGGGAGAUGGGUGCAGGAUGGAUGAAGGUUUGUGUGUAGUUAAGGUGUGUGUGUGUGUGUGAAGGUUUGUGUGUAGGUAAGGUGAGUGUGUGUGUGUGUGUGUGUGUGUGUGAAGGUUCGUGUGUAGGUAAGGUGAGUGUGUGUGUGUGUGUGUGUGUGAAGGUUUGUGUGUAGGUAAGGUGAGUGUGUGUGUGUGUGAAGGUUUGUGUGUAGGUAAGGUGAGUGUGUGUGUGUGUGUGUGAAGGUUUGUGUGUAGGUAAGGUGAGUGCCGUCUCAGACUACUGGGCUGAAAGCAUCGGAGGAUUACUUCAUACACACACACACACACACACACACACACACACACACACAGACACACACACACACACACACACACAGACGCACACACACACACACUCACACACACACACACACACACACACACACACACAGACACACACACACACACACACACAUGCAUCGGAGGAUUACUUCUGCUUCUUUUAAACGUCACCAUAGCAACCGACGUGUUUGGGUUUUUUUCCUGGCUGAAGACAUGAACAAGGAGAGUGCUUCCGUUCACUGAAGAAGGUGAACACACACACACACACACACACACACACUCAUGAAGAAGGAGAGUGCUUCCGUUCACUGAAAAAUUGAGAAUUAAAGUUUGAGAAUUAUAUGCCAGAAUGAGGACAGCAAAUACUUAUACCCACCGCAUACCCUGCACACACACACACACACACACACACAAACCCUGGUCCCAGGGGCAACGCACACACAAACACACACACACACGCACACACCCUGGUCCCAGGGGCAACGCACACACAAACACACACACACACACACACAAACACACACACACACACACAAACACCCUGGUCCCACACACACACAAACACACACACACACACACACACACACACACACCCUGGUCCCAUACACACACACACACACGCACACAAACACACACACACCCUGGUCCCACAAACACACACACACACACACACACACACACCCUGGUCGCACACACACACACACACACACACACCCUGGUCCCACACUUCAAAUCCACAGGGAUCAUUCCAUACGCUACUCACACACGCCAUUCACUCCAUAAAAAACCCUAACUUUGAAAGUAAACCUACACCCACAGAAUAUGCAUUAAAAGACUACUCUUAAGCUGACAAAAACACACACACACACACACACACACACACACACACACACACACACACACACACACACACACACACAUCCGGAAGGCCACACACGAUAAUCAGAGGAUUACGGUUCAGCCCCUGACGAUCUCCUCUUCCCUCCUGGAGGCUGCUGGGUAAUUGAGAUGGGGAUCUUCACUCUCACUUUUUCAUUUAGCCGCCGCCUCGUCCCCAUCCAGGCGGAAUGUUCUGGUUCCUCUGUGUAAUCCCCUCCUGGAGCCUGAUGUGUGUGUGUGUGUGUGUGUGUGUGUGUGUGAGUGAAUGUGUGUGUGUGUGUGUGUGUGUGUGUGUGUGUGUGUGUGUGUGUGUGUGUGUGUGUGUGUGUGUGUGUGUGUGCGCCCGCCUGAUUAGCUUGAUAAUUAACUCUUUGAGGCUCAGUCCGCCGCAGGCUAACGCUUAAAGAAAAAAAGAAAAGAAAAAGGCAUGGUGUUUCACUUUACCCAGGUAGGGCAGUCAGCUGUGUGUCGGACGUCCACCGGAACCGCGUCGGAUGAGGGUCGGGACCGAUCCGGGGUCUGAUACGCUGCGUUGGUUUUCCCUUACACGUUGUUCCGGCUGGUGUUGUCACGACAACGGAAAGUGCUGCUAAUCUUGUAAUCCAAAAAUGACUCUGUGUUCCUGUGGAUCUAAUUAGGACUUAAUAUUGAGACCUGCACUGGGCUGGGAGGCACUGUGUGUGUGUGUGUGUGUGUGUGUGUGUGUGUGUGUGUGUGUGUGUUAAUAUUUGCCUUUCCUUUCCAUUGAAGCCCCAAAGUAAGUGAUAUCCUAAAGACAUGUUUGUGUUUGUUUGUCCGUGUGUGUGUGUGGUGUGUGUGUGUGUGUGUGUGUGUGUGUGUGUGUGUGUGUGUGUGUGUGUGUGUGUGUGUGAAUAUUUGCCAUUCCUUUCCAUUGAAGCCCCAAAGUAAGUGAUAUCCUAAAGACAUGUUUGUGUUUGUUUGUCCGUGUGUGUGUGUAUGUGUGUGUGCCCAAAAGCCUGUGUGUGUGUGUGUGUGUGUAUGUGUGUGUGUGUCCUAUUAAGCCAUGUUAGGCAUGCAUGUCCACUACCCUGUCUAGACAUCAUAAGUGUCUUGUAAAAGUCCCAGGGUGCCGGAACAAGCUGAGUCAUUUGCUAAUCCUUCUGAAAACAAUCAUCGACACACACACACCCACACACACACACACACACACACAGGCUUUUGGGCAUUAGCAAAAUGAACAGCAAAACCACGCUGGUCACCCUUUCACCUUGCAGUUUAGAGAGAGCGAGAAAAAAGAGAAAAUGACACGGCACAGUAAAUAUGCAUUCAAGCUUUUUGCACAUGCCUUAAGCACACACACACACACACACACACACACACACACACACACACACACACAUGCCUUAAGCAUCUCAUUCUUUUCACAUGGGCUCGUUUUUUUAUUAUUUCCAAUUUGAGAUUAAAGGCUUAUGUGAUUAUUCAUUGCUAAUAUCAUCACAAUAUUUAGAGACUUAAAGGA
Clupea harengus (Atlantic herring) is the source of this 4055-nucleotide long non-coding RNA. NCBI's taxonomy places the organism in Eukaryota, Metazoa, Chordata, Actinopteri, Clupeiformes, Clupeidae. The record is from Ensembl.